AGUCCAGACUCCUACGGGAGGCAGCAGUGAGGAAUAUUGGUCAAUGGGCGAGAGCCUGAACCAGCCAAGUCGCGUGAAGGAUGACGGCCCUACGGGUUGUAAACUUCUUUUGUCAGGGAGCAAUUGAGUCCACGUGUGGGCUUAGCGAGAGUACCUGAAGAAAAAGCAUCGGCUAACUCCGUGCCAGCAGCCGCGGUAAUACGGAGGAUGCGAGCGUUAUCCGGAUUUAUUGGGUUUAAAGGGUGCGAGGGGGGCCUGUUAAGCGGGGGGAAAAAGCCGGGGGCCCAACCCCGGCGAGCCGUUGAAACUGGCGGGCUGGAGUUGGAGAGAAGUACGCGGAAUGCGCGGUGUAGCGGUGAAAUGCUUAGAUAUCGCGCAGAACCCCGAUUGCGAAGGCAGCGUACCGGCUCCACACUGACGCUGAGGCACGAAAGCGUGGGUAUCGAACAGGAUUAGAUACCCGCGUA
RNAcentral lists this ribosomal RNA (467 nucleotides) under uncultured bacterium. RNAcentral describes it as "bacterial SSU rRNA". It matches the Rfam family "Bacterial small subunit ribosomal RNA", at positions 328 to 792 of the family's 1533-position model. The record is from RNAcentral.